RNAcentral lists this ribosomal RNA (470 nucleotides) under uncultured bacterium. Its description in RNAcentral is "bacterial SSU rRNA". It matches the Rfam family "Bacterial small subunit ribosomal RNA", at positions 365 to 825 of the family's 1533-position model. The record is from RNAcentral.
UUCGCAAUGCCCGAAAGGGUGACGAAGCGACGCCGCGUGUGGGAAGAAGGCCUUCGGGUUGUAAACCACUGUUGGGAGUUAGGAAGUGUGGAGGUGUUAAUAGCGCUUUCACUUGACUAAAGCUCCAGAGGAAGCCACGGCUAACUCUGUGCCAGCAGCCGCGGUAAUACAGAGGCGGCAAGCGUUGUUCGGAAUUAUUGGGCGUAAAGAGCACGUAGGCGGCUCUGUAAGUCAGCUGUGAAAGCCUUCUGCUUAACGGAAGAACGGCAGUUGAAACUACAGGGCUUGAGUGCGGGAGGGGAGAGUGGAACUUCUGGUGGAGCGGUGAAAUGCGUAGAUAUCAGAAGGAACGCCGGCGGCGAAAGCGGCUCUCUGGUCCGUAACUGACGCUGAGUGUGCGAAAGCUAGGGGAGCAAACGGGAUUAGAUACCCCGGUAGUCCUAGCCGUAAACGAUGGGCACUAAGUAGAG